UAUUAUUAUUAUUAUUUUUUAAUUGCAAAUCAAUGCAUUACAAGGUCCUAGGGGCGCAUAUUUAGAUUAUUAAUGAUAUCACUGUUUUGACACUAUUAAAAAGUCAGGUGGUAUUGGGAUAAACACUCAAUUAUUUAGCUACAGGCCAUUAUAUUAGACUCCACGAUAUUGAGUUUUUAAUUAGUUUUUGGAUGGAGUGUUUGUGACUUUUAAACUUUUAAAAAAGUAG
This 229-nucleotide unclassified non-coding RNA is filed under the name Hevea brasiliensis (rubber tree). The record is from RNAcentral. Lineage: Eukaryota; Viridiplantae; Streptophyta; Magnoliopsida; Malpighiales; Euphorbiaceae.